RNAcentral lists this transfer RNA (84 nucleotides) under Bacillota bacterium. RNAcentral describes it as "tRNA-Leu". It matches the Rfam family "tRNA". From Rfam's summary of the family: Transfer RNA (tRNA) molecules are approximately 80 nucleotides in length. Their secondary structure includes four short double-helical elements and three loops (D, anti-codon, and T loops). The record is from RNAcentral. Lineage: Bacteria; Bacillati; Bacillota.
GCCGGGGUGGCGGAAUCGGCAGACGCAAGCGACUUAAAAUCGCUUAUCCGACAGGGUGUGCGGGUUCGAGUCCCGUCCCCGGCA